GAUGAACGCUGGCGGCGUGCCUAAUACAUGCAAGUCGAGCGAACGGACGAUAAGCGUGUUUCCCUGAUGUUAGCGGCGGACGGGUGAGUAACACGUGGAUAACCUACCUAUAAUACGGGGAUAACUUCGGGAAACCGGUGCUAAUACCGGCUAAUAUUUUGAACCGCAUGAUUCAAAAGUGAAAGACGGCUUUGCUGUCACUUAUAGAUGGAUCCGCGCUGCAUUAGCUAGUUGGUAAGGUAACGGCUUACCAAGGCAACGAUGCAUAGCCGACCUGAGAGGGUGAUCGGCCACACUGGAACUGAGACACGGUCCAGACUCCUACGGGAGGCAGCAGUGGGGAAUAUUCCGCAAUGGGCGAAAGCCUGACGGAGCAACGCCGCGUGAGUGAUGAAGGUCUUCGGAUCGUAAAACUCUGUUAUUAGGGAAGAACAUAUGUGUAAGUAACUGUGCACAUCUUGACGGUACCUAAUCAGAAAGCCACGGCUAACUACGUG
Molecule: ribosomal RNA, 497 nt
Filed under: uncultured bacterium
Lineage: Bacteria
Description: partial 16S ribosomal RNA
Rfam family: Bacterial small subunit ribosomal RNA
Source: RNAcentral